UAAGUUGUAUCUACAACCAAAUAGUUGAUUAUAUUAAAUAAAUAUAUAUUAUUCUAUAAUUGAUAGUUAUUAAGUUAAAAAAAUUUAGGGCAUAUUUGAUUUGUGAUCAAAACCAAAAUUAGAAUGGACAAGAAUGAGCAUCGGAACGACUAUAUCCUUCAAUGUAUUUGAUUUGUUAUGAAAACCGUAGUUGGAAUUAGAAUAAAAUUUGAAUCUCAGGAAAGAAUAGAGAUUGGAGUAUUUCUAUCUCCCUAUUUAUUAAAAAUUCGAAAUACAAAUAGAACUCCUUCCAAC
This 294-nucleotide long non-coding RNA is filed under the name Elaeis guineensis (African oil palm). Its description in RNAcentral is "long non-coding RNA (EGUI_LNC023658)". The record is from RNAcentral. Lineage: Eukaryota; Viridiplantae; Streptophyta; Magnoliopsida; Arecales; Arecaceae.